CGAACGCUGGCGGCGUGCCUAAUACAUGCAAGUCGAGCGGACAGAAGGGAGCUUGCUCCCGGAUGUUAGCGGCGGACGGGUGAGUAACACGUGGGUAACCUGCCUGUAAGACUGGGAUAACUCCGGGAAACCGGAGCUAAUACCGGAUAGUUCCUUGAACCGCAUGGUUCAAGGAUGAAAGACGGUUUCGGCUGUCACUUACAGAUGGACCCGCGGCGCAUUAGCUAGUUGGUGAGGUAACGGCUCACCAAGGCGACGAUGCGUAGCCGACCUGAGAGGGUGAUCGGCCACACUGGGACUGAGACACGGCCCAGACUCCUACGGGAGGCAGCAGUAGGGAAUCUUCCGCAAUGGACGAAAGUCUGACGGAGCAACGCCGCGUGAGUGAUGAAGGUUUUCGGAUCGUAAAGCUCUGUUGUUAGGGAAGAACAAGUGCAAGAGUAACUGCUUGCACCUUGACGGUACCUAACCAGAAAGCCACGGCUAACUACGUGCCAGCAGCCGCGGUAAUACGUAGGUGGCAAGCGUUGUCCGGAAUUAUUGGGCGUAAAGGGCUCGCAGGCGGUUUCUUAAGUCUGAUGUGAAAGCCCCCGGCUCAACCGGGGAGGGUCAUUGGAAACUGGGAAACUUGAGUGCAGAAGAGGAGAGUGGAAUUCCACGUGUAGCGGUGAAAUGCGUAGAGAUGUGGAGGAACACCAGUGGCGAAGGCGACUCUCUGGUCUGUAACUGACGCUGAGGAGCGAAAGCGUGGGGAGCGAACAGGAUUAGAUACCCUGGUAGUCCACGCCGUAAACGAUGAGUGCUAAGUGUUAGGGGGUUUCCGCCCCUUAGUGCUGCAGCUAACGCAUUAAGCACUCCGCCUGGGGAGUACGGUCGCAAGACUGAAACUCAAAGGAAUUGACGGGGGCCCGCACAAGCGGUGGAGCAUGUGGUUUAAUUCGAAGCAACGCGAAGAACCUUACCAGGUCUUGACAUCCUCUGACAACCCUAGAGAUAGGGCUUUCCCUUCGGGGACAGAGUGACAGGUGGUGCAUGGUUGUCGUCAGCUCGUGUCGUGAGAUGUUGGGUUAAGUCCCGCAACGAGCGCAACCCUUGAUCUUAGUUGCCAGCAUUCAGUUGGGCACUCUAAGGUGACUGCCGGUGACAAACCGGAGGAAGGUGGGGAUGACGUCAAAUCAUCAUGCCCCUUAUGACCUGGGCUACACACGUGCUACAAUGGACAGAACAAAGGGCUGCGAGACCGCAAGGUUUAGCCAAUCCCACAAAUCUGUUCUCAGUUCGGAUCGCAGUCUGCAACUCGACUGCGUGAAGCUGGAAUCGCUAGUAAUCGCGGAUCAGCAUGCCGCGGUGGAUACGUUCCCGGGCCUUGUACACACCGCCCGUCACACCACGAGAGUUUGCAACACCCGAAGUCGGUGAGGUAACCUUUAUGGAGCCAGCCGCCGAAGUGGGGCAGAUGAUUGGGGUGAGC
This 1471-nucleotide ribosomal RNA is filed under the name Bacillus pumilus. RNAcentral's name for it is "bacterial SSU rRNA". It matches the Rfam family "Bacterial small subunit ribosomal RNA". The record is from RNAcentral. Lineage: Bacteria; Bacillati; Bacillota; Bacilli; Caryophanales; Bacillaceae.